Camelus dromedarius (Arabian camel) is the source of this 577-nucleotide long non-coding RNA. RefSeq lists it as uncharacterized. The transcript is spliced from 2 exons. Lineage: Eukaryota; Metazoa; Chordata; Mammalia; Artiodactyla; Camelidae. The record is from RefSeq and is a predicted model, not a curated record.
GUUGAGCCUGGCGUAGAGCACAUCGUCCAGGUCCCAGGCCAGCAGGCGCCGCAGCAACACGAGCGACUCGUCGAAGUACUCGGCGAUCAUGACGAGAGAGAAGACUUCCUCCACCUGGCGGAUGAGGCCCGCCAGGAUAACUCAUGCAGGGGGUGAGGAGGUCCCAGGUGGCAAGUCCCCAAGGAAACGGGCCCUCAGUCCGUCAGCCUGCUGGAAGAGCUGAAGGCUCCCAACAACCACAUGAAUGAGCUUGUAAGGGGAGCCCUUCCAAUCAAAACUUCAGAUGAGACUGCAUUCCCAGCAGCCAGCUUGAUUGCAGCUCCAUGAGAGACCUUGAGCCAGAGGUACCCAGCUAAACCACACCUGGAUUCCUGACCUACCAAAAUGAGAUAAUGAAUGUUUGAUGUUUUGAGCUGCCGAGGUUUUGAGAUGAUUUAAUUAUACAUAAAAGGUAAUACAAGGACAAAGGCCCUUGGAGAUCCUUGAAGAAUUCCACUUUACAGAUGUACAAAGGAGCAGAAGGAGAAAAUGACUUCCAUCAGUCUGGCAACUCAGAUAAAGUCGCCAAAAGUCUUGC